RNAcentral lists this ribosomal RNA (273 nucleotides) under uncultured bacterium. RNAcentral's name for it is "partial 16S ribosomal RNA". It matches the Rfam family "Bacterial small subunit ribosomal RNA", at positions 524 to 795 of the family's 1533-position model. The record is from RNAcentral.
UACGUAGGGUGCAAGCGUUGUCCGGAAUUAUUGGGCGUAAAGAGCUCGUAGGCGCCUGUCGCGUCGGCUGAUGAAACCUGGGCUCAACCCGGGCCUGCAGCCGAUACGGGCAGGCUAGAAUUCGGUAGGGGAGAGUGGAAUUCCUGGGUGUAGCGGUGUAAAUGCGCAGGAUAAUCGAGGAGGAACACCGAUGGCGAAGGCAGGUCUCUGGCCACUGACUGACGCUGAGAAGCGAAAGCAUGGGAGCGAACAGGAUAGACUACCGGAGUAGUC